GACGAACGCUGGCGGCGUGCUUAACACAUGCAAGUCGAACGGAAAGGCCCUGCUUUUGUGGGGUGCUCGAGUGGCGAACGGGUGAGUAACACGUGAGUAACCUGCCCUUGACUUUGGGAUAACUUCAGGAAACUGGGGCUAAUACCGGAUAGGAGCUCCUGCUGCAUGGUGGGGGUUGGAAAGUUUCGGCGGUUGGGGUUGGACUCGCGGCUUAUCAGCUUGUUGGUGGGGUAGUGGCUUACCAAGGUUUUGACGGGUAGCCGGCCUGAGAGGGUGACCGGCCACAUUGGGACGGAGAUACGGCCCAGAAUCCUACGGGAGGCAGCAGGGGGGAAUAUUGCACAAUGGGCGGAAGCCUGAUGCAGCAACGCCGCGUGCGGGAUGACGGCCUUAGGGUUGUAAACCGCUUUCGCCUGUGACGAAGCGUGAGUGACGGUAAUGGGUAAAGAAGCACAGGCUAACUACGUG
This 468-nucleotide ribosomal RNA is filed under the name uncultured bacterium. RNAcentral describes it as "partial 16S ribosomal RNA". It matches the Rfam family "Bacterial small subunit ribosomal RNA", at positions 28 to 507 of the family's 1533-position model. The record is from RNAcentral.